Molecule: ribosomal RNA, 253 nt
Filed under: uncultured bacterium
Lineage: Bacteria
Description: partial 16S ribosomal RNA
Rfam family: Bacterial small subunit ribosomal RNA
Source: RNAcentral
UACGAAGGGGGCUAGCGUUGCUCGGAAUGACUGGGCGUAAAGGGUGAGUAGGCGGAUGAAUAAGUUAGAUGUGAAAAACCUGGGCUUAACCUGGGUCGUGCAUAUAAUACUGUUGAUCUAGAGUUUGUAAGAGGGGUGUAGAAUUCCAAGUGUAGCAGUGAAAUGCGUAGAGAUUUGGAGGAAUACCGAUGGCGAAGGCAGCACCCUGGUAUAGAACUGACGCUGAGGCACGAAAGCGUGGGUAGCAAACAGG